Long non-coding RNA from Lonchura striata (white-rumped munia), 2117 nucleotides. The record is from Ensembl. Lineage: Eukaryota; Metazoa; Chordata; Aves; Passeriformes; Estrildidae.
AAACUUCGAGUGCAACUUUUUCCCUUGGAAUGUGGAAAGAGGCUCAACCUCGUAGUUAAUGUUUAGUUUCUGAGCUGAGUAAAUGGACCCACGCUGCUGGCGACAGAAGGGAGGAUGCCAGUAGAAUGGGUGUGAGGAUUUAUUUAGCAAUCGGGUCCUGCUUUGUGGGCGUCUCUUAUAAGGCUUUCAUAUGAAAUUUAGAUUAUAAUUCCCUGCUCGGCUUUGAUGCUCUCUGUCCUGAUUAAAAUCACAUCAACCUUUCAGUCGCAUAAGAAGACCACAGCCUGGGUGCCCAUUUACAAAUUCUCCGAUUUUUGUGGAUGCAGAAUUUAAGAAGAUUUUGCUGCCUUUAAGGCGAAGAGAGGAGGGGAGCGCACCUCCGGCUGCGCUGCCGCCCGAGCCCUGCCCGUCGCGGCGAGCGGGCACCGCAGGGCCGAAGAGGAGAUGCCAGGGGAAGCCGGGCGCUCCCCACCUUUCACUCAUAGCCGCAGAGAGAGCGAGGGAGAGAAAAUUGCCACAGACCAGGCAGCAAAAUGCUGGGUUUAGAAAACUGCGAUCCAGUUUCGUGCAUACUACUAUAAUUAAUUUGCGUGCGGAGAUCAAAGAUCCGAGGGCGAAGGAAAUAAUCGAUUCUGCCAGAAAACGCUUCCCUGGCGCAGCCCACGGUCAGCCGCCACCCACGGCAGGGAGCCAAGCACGCUUCACAGAGUGUACCAUGUAACAGAGAGGACAGCAGGCUGCACUGGCACCCACCUGAAGCCCAACCCCACCCAUGUUGUUCUUUCAGAAAUGGCUUAAUUCUCAUGCUCAUGGAAACAAACACUAGCAAGAGCAACCUGAUCUUACCAACUAAUUUGUCAUGCCUGAUGGAUGCUGAGGACUAGCUGGAGUUACAUGGCAGUAAAAGCUCCUCUGUGCUAAGCACACCUCAGCACAGAUAGACACAGUGCAAGCUUAUUGCAAAGCUUAUGGGGCUACUGCCACUGCCUUUGUUGUUCUGCUUAUGUAGCACAGAACUAUGCUGAUAAAUACCCAGAUAGGACAGAUAUAAAUUUGAUGGAUGAAGUACUGUUUUCUUUAAUAAUCUAGAUUGAAAUGUUAAAUUUUGUUCUGCAUUUAUCACGCUCUUCUAGCAUGUAUUGGCAAUAGGCUCACUCAUUGUUCUAAAUGGCUGUAAAUUGCUGUCAGGUUCACAGCACCCAGGGCCUUUGUGUGUUGGUUUUAUUGAAAGCAGGUCUACUACCGGCUGCUUUUUAACCUGGAAGAUUUAAGAAAAGAGAAGAAUCUAUUUCUUUUAGCUCAGGAGGUUUCUGAGCUGCAGAAAACAUUAGAGGUUGUAGGGAAAGAUGUUUUAUAUACUGUGUCGUACAGUAAGCUUCUGUUCCUAUGCUUUUCCCCUCAAAUAUACUCCAUUAGCCACUCAGAGAGAGGCUGAACUAAAUAGCUCUUUGCUCUGUCUGAAGAGGGCUUUAUUUAUGGACUCCCUUUAUUCUUAGUUAUUGCAGCAACCCUUGGGCUUGAUUCUAUAAAACACUAGCUCAGGGCAAACUCCCCCCAGUACUAUCAGGGCGGCAAUUAAGUAAUUAACACAUGAGUGUUUGCAGCUCUCAGCAGAGUUGAUACCAUGCAGACCUUGGUUCUCACGGAGAAGGACUUUUACAAGGAAAUAUCAUUCCUCCCUGCACAACAGUAAAUAGCUGGAAGUGCAGCAGGCAACUGGUUUCAAAGGUGAAGAGAAAAUCCCACCCAGGCUUCCAGCUGCCAGGCAGCUGUCAGUGAAGCUCAGCCCUAAGGUGAGCGUAGCCUGUGUGGGUGGGGUGGCCAACAUCCGUCACUUGUGUCCUGGGAUUUGGCAAGGGGAGCGCACGUGCUUUAGCGUGAGACCCCUCGUUUGCUCUUACUUCUACAGAGACAUUUCAAAUUUCAAAUUUCAUCCCUGCCUGGGGUUCGGGUAAACCAUUUGGAGAGUCUAUUGCAGUAGUAAGCUAUAAAACUUAUCUGGGCUAGUCUAAAGGAAGCCUCUUUACUGCAGCACUCAUGCAAACAGAAACUCAUGAUAUGACACACUCUUAGUAUUCACCAAACCAGAAAAAUAAAGAAAAUAUCUUUGUGGGACA